CACAGAGGCCAUACCACCCAGAACGCGGCCGAUCUCUGAUCUCGGAAGCUAAGCAGGGUAGGGCCUGGAUGGUACUUGGAUGGCAGACCACCUGGCAAUACCGGGUGCUGUUGGCU
Molecule: ribosomal RNA, 116 nt
Filed under: Carlito syrichta (Philippine tarsier)
Lineage: Eukaryota; Metazoa; Chordata; Mammalia; Primates; Tarsiidae
Source: RNAcentral